UAUAAGACUGGGAUAACUUCGGGAAACCGGAGCUAAUACCGGAUAAGAUUUUGAACCGCAUGGUUCAAUAGUGAAAGACGGCCUUGCUGUCACUUAUAGAUGGAUCCGCGCCGUAUUAGCUAGUUGGUAAGGUAACGGCUUACCAAGGCAACGAUACGUAGCCGACCUGAGAGGGUGAUCGGCCACACUGGAACUGAGACACGGUCCAGACUCCUACGGGAGGCAGCAGUAGGGAAUCUUCCGCAAUGGGCGAAAGCCUGACGGAGCAACGCCGCGUGAGUGAUGAAGGUCUUCGGAUCGUAAAACUCUGUUAUCAGGGAAGAACAAACGUGUAAGUAACUGUGCACGUCUUGACGGUACCUGAUCAGAAAGCCACGGCUAACUACGUGCCAGCAGCCGCGGUAAUACGUAGGUGGCAAGCGUUAUCCGGAAUUAUUGGGCGUAAAGCGCGCGUAGGCGGUUUUUUAAGUCUGAUGUGAAAGCCCACGGCUCAACCGUGGAGGGUCAUUGGAAACUGGAAAACUUGAGUGCAGAAGAGGAAAGUGGAAUUCCAUGUGUAGCGGUGAAAUGCGCAGAGAUAUGGAGGAACACCAGUGGCGAAGGCGACUUUCUGGUCUGUAACUGACGCUGAUGUGCGAAAGCGUGGGGAUCAAACAGGAUUAGAUACCCUGGUAGUCCACGCCGUAAACGAUGAGUGCUAAGUGUUAGGGGGUUUCCGCCCCUUAGUGCUGCAGCUAACGCAUUAAGCACUCCGCCUGGGGAGUACGACCGCAAGGUUGAAACUCAAAG
RNAcentral lists this ribosomal RNA (789 nucleotides) under uncultured Staphylococcus sp. Its description in RNAcentral is "bacterial SSU rRNA". It matches the Rfam family "Bacterial small subunit ribosomal RNA", at positions 131 to 906 of the family's 1533-position model. Lineage: Bacteria; Bacillati; Bacillota; Bacilli; Caryophanales; Staphylococcaceae. The record is from RNAcentral.